GUUGGGUGACUGCGUACCUUUUGUAUAAUGGGUCAGCGACUUAUAUUCUGUAGCAAGGUUAACCGUAUAGGGGAGCCGCAGGGAAACCGAGUCUUAACUGGGCGUUAAGUUGCAGGGUAUAGACCCGAAACCCGGUGAUCUAGCCAUGGGCAGGUUGAAGGUUGGGUAACACUAACUGGAGGACCGAACCGACUAAUGUUGAAAAAUUAGCGGAUGACUUGUGGCUGGGGGUGAAAGGCCAAUCAAACCGGGAGAUAGCUGGUUCUCCCCGAAAGCUAUUUAGGUAGCGCCUCGUGAACUCAUCUUCGGGGGUAGAGCACUGUUUCGGCUAGGGGGUCAUCCCGACUUACCAACCCGAUGCAAACUACGAAUACCGAAGAAUGUUAUCACGGGAGACACACGGCGGGUGCUAACGUCCGUCGUGAAGAGGGAAACAACCCAGACCGCCAGCUAAGGUCCCAAAGUCAUGGUUAAGUGGGAAACGAUGUGGGAAGGCCCAGACAGCCAGGAUGUUGGCUUAGAAGCAGCCAUCAUUUAAAGAAAGCGUAAUAGCUCACUGGUCGAGUCGGCCUGCGCGGAAGAUGUAACGGGGCUAAACCAUGCACCGAAGCUGCGGCAGCGACGCUUAUGCGUUGUUGGGUAGGGGAGCGUUCUGUAAGCCGUUGAAGGUGGCCUGUGAGGGUUGCUGGAGGUAUCAGAAGUGCGAAUGCUGACAUAAGUAACGAUAAUGCGGGUGAAAAACCCGCACGCCGGAAGACCAAGGGUUCCUGUCCAACGUUAAUCGGGGCAGGGUGAGUCGACCCCUAAGGCGAGGCCGAAAGGCGUAGUCGAUGGGAAACAGGUUAAUAUUCCUGUACUCGGUGUUACUGCGAAGGGGGGACGGAGAAGGCUAUGUUGGCCGGGCGACGGUUGUCCCGGUUUAAGCAUGUAGGCGGAUGUUCCAGGUAAAUCCGGAACGUUACUAACGCUGAGGUGUGAUGACGAGGCACUACGGUGCUGAAGUGACAAAUGCCCUGCUUCCAGGAAAAGCCUCUAAGCAUCAGGUAACAUCAAAUCGUACCCCAAACCGACACAGGUGGUCAGGUAGAGAAUACCAAGGCGCUUGAGAGAACUCGGGUGAAGGAACUAGGCAAAAUGGUGCCGUAACUUCGGGAGAAGGCACGCUGAUGGUAAGUGAAGUGACUUGCUCAUGGAGCUGAAAUCAGUCGAAGAUACCAGCUGGCUGCAACUGUUUAUUAAAAACACAGCAC
Molecule: ribosomal RNA, 1250 nt
Filed under: Klebsiella michiganensis
Lineage: Bacteria; Pseudomonadati; Pseudomonadota; Gammaproteobacteria; Enterobacterales; Enterobacteriaceae
Description: partial 23S ribosomal RNA
Rfam family: Bacterial large subunit ribosomal RNA
Source: RNAcentral